UAGCUUGCAUAGUUAGCUAAGCUCGAGUGCUGCGAAGAGUUACGAAAAACUUAAAAAAUUGAAUAUGAGAAACCAACAAUGUAAGUUGAAGCUCGUGUACUACUUCUUGCUUUUGCUGAAGAUAUUGCCGACGAUUUUGGCGCACAAUUGGGAUCCCAAAACAGGCGGAGAACGAGGAGCAGAAGAAAAGGCUAUAGAUUACUGUAUGUGGUUCUUGAAUUUAACUAGAGAGGACUUUCUUUGUGCUGCCAAGGUUGACCGGAUUUAUUAUAAAUUUUUAUGAAGAGCUGACCUCGCCUAAUAAAGUCUGGGUAUAAUAGAAUUAUA
Long non-coding RNA from Bactrocera dorsalis (oriental fruit fly), 327 nucleotides. RefSeq lists it as uncharacterized. The transcript has 2 exons. Lineage: Eukaryota; Metazoa; Arthropoda; Insecta; Diptera; Tephritidae. The record is from RefSeq and is a predicted model, not a curated record.